UCAAAUGACUCUCGGCAACGGAUAUCUCGGCUCUUGCAUCGAUGAAGAACGUAGCGAAAUGCGAUACUUGGUGUGAAUUGCAGAAUCCCGUGAACCAUCGAGUCUUUGAACGCAAGUUGCGCCUGAAGCCAUCAGGUUGAAGGCACGUCUGCCUGGGCGUCACGCAU
This 167-nucleotide ribosomal RNA is filed under the name Erica elimensis. Its description in RNAcentral is "5.8S ribosomal RNA". It matches the Rfam family "5.8S ribosomal RNA". From Rfam's summary of the family: 5.8S ribosomal RNA (5.8S rRNA) is a component of the large subunit of the eukaryotic ribosome. It is transcribed by RNA polymerase I as part of the 45S precursor that also contains 18S and 28S rRNA. The record is from RNAcentral. Lineage: Eukaryota; Viridiplantae; Streptophyta; Magnoliopsida; Ericales; Ericaceae.